RNAcentral lists this ribosomal RNA (359 nucleotides) under uncultured Pelotomaculum sp. RNAcentral's name for it is "bacterial SSU rRNA". It matches the Rfam family "Bacterial small subunit ribosomal RNA", at positions 1024 to 1382 of the family's 1533-position model. The record is from RNAcentral. Lineage: Bacteria; Bacillati; Bacillota; Clostridia; Eubacteriales; Desulfotomaculaceae.
UGACAGGGAGACAGGUGGUGCAUUGGUUGUCGUCAGCUCGUGUCGUGAGAUGUUGGGUUAAGUCCCGCAACGAGCGCAACCCUACGUUUAGUUGCUAACGCGUGAAGGCGAGCACUCUAGACGAACUGCCGUUGACAAAACGGAGGAAGGUGGGGAUGACGUCAAAUCAUCAUGCCCCUUAUGUUCUGGGCUACACACGUGCUACAAUGGCCGGUACAGACGGACGCAAAGCCGCGAGGUGGAGCAAAUCCUAAAAAGCCGGUCUCAGUUCGGAUUGCAGGCUGCAAUUCGCCUGCAUGAAGUCGGAAUCGCUAGUAAUCGCAGGUCAGCAUACUGCGGUGAAUACGUUCCCGGGCCUU